UCUCCGUUGGUGAACCAGCGGAGGGAUCAUUAAAGAGUUGCAAAACUCCAACCCCUGUGAACCUUACCUGUACGUUGCUUCGGCGGCCGACGCCACGCCCAGCCGGGCCUGGGGGACGCCGCCGGAGGUCUAAACUCUUACCAUUUUGUACGUCUGAGGAAAAAACAAUAAUCAAAACUUUCAACAACGGAUCUCUUGGUUCUG
This 204-nucleotide unclassified non-coding RNA is filed under the name soil metagenome. Its description in RNAcentral is "partial contains small subunit ribosomal RNA, internal transcribed spacer 1, and 5.8S ribosomal RNA". The record is from RNAcentral.